Molecule: long non-coding RNA, 2121 nt
Organism: Cavia porcellus (domestic guinea pig)
Lineage: Eukaryota; Metazoa; Chordata; Mammalia; Rodentia; Caviidae
Exons: 6
Source: RefSeq, a predicted model, not a curated record
GUGAUGUCCACUAGCAGGCUGGCCGGCAGGCAGAUGGCUGUUACCAGCACGUCAGCCAAAGACAGGUUAACGAUGAAGUAGUUGGUGACUGUCCUCAUGUGGUGGUUCCGCCACACUGCCAGACAGACUGGGUCAUUGGGGAGAGGAAUGAAGCCAGCAGCAAAGCCACGCCCACUCCAGUUCACACCCAUCCAAGAAGUUCCCUCCCCCCAUAGGACACUCCACUCCCCAGGGGAAGCUCUCAGUGGCACAGCUCAAGAAGCAGACCUACCCAGGGUGUUGCCCACCAGCGCUAUGAGGAACACGGCCACGUAGGCUGCGAUGAGGACCCACUCAUACUGCUUCGGGUACAGUCCAGCCGCACCUACCUUCAGGGGGCGCGAUGAGGAACAACACUCUCUAACCCAGGCUGAGAGCUGGCACAGGAGGCCAGCCUUACAGACGCAACCAGUGUCAAGGGAAGCUGAGGACGUGGCUCUGGGUAGAGGACUUGGGUUCCAGCCUCGGCAUCGUAGCAGGAAGAAAUGAUGACCCUGACUCCUCCUGACCUCCCCAGGUCAUGGCCACUGGAGUGAUGUGCACCCAUCGCCUCUCCUCUCAAAGGUACCUGUGGGCCCGAUCUUCAGGUCUGGGCCAUCCUCACACAGAGGUGGAAGCUGAGGUGGAAGCUGCAGUUGCUCCCUGAUGCAGCCCUGAAUGGCUCAGGCUUGGCGUCGGACAAGAGGAAGAUGGACGGAUGGUGCCCAGGCGGUAACGGAUGCCCUCAUCCAGCGUCAUACCCCAGAAGGCGCUGUGGUUCCCAGCCUGCCACCUGAAGAAGAAGGGGCGGGGCAGUCACAGACCUGCCAGAAGUCCCAGGGUUACGUGUGUGAGUGGGAGACACACACACAAAAUCUGAGCGGGUUGCCCAGCAUGACGUGCAUCUCCAGCAGAGCGCAUGUGUGUGCUGGCGAGAAAAGGAGGGAAUGAAAGCCUAAGUGGGGACCUGGGAACUCUCAGAAGAGACAAAAUGGGCGUAGGAUUCUGUACCAGCAACCAAAGGGGCAGCACCGUGAUAAUUCCCUCAGCCUGGUGGCUUUCAGUGUCAACUUCAAGCUUGUGACUUCCUCCUCCCCUCCUCUGCUUAGAUCUCUUCCUGAACGAAGUCACGGAUCGUGCUGCCACUUAGCAUCACUAGGGAGUAUCUAACACCAGAUCAGACAUAACGUACCCCAAACCCUAUUCCGAAUCUCCCUCACUGCCGGCAACUGCAUCCUUCCUGGGGCUCGGACCAGAAACUGGGCGUGGCCCUUGACUUUCUGUCCCAUGCAGAUCCUUGUGGAUGCACCUUAGAAACAUAUCCAGAAUCCAAACUGUGUGUCAUUCUCUCCUGCUGCCACCACGGCCCAGUCACCUCUCACCUGGAGCUCUGCUCAGUCUCCUCGUUGCUCGGGGGCAUCUGCUCCGUGUUACCCUAUGUCCCCCUGGUAUAUUUAUAACAGGGCUACCAGCGUGAUCCAGCUAAACUUAAGUCAUAUCAUGCCAUUCCUUUGCCUGAAACUCUCCAUUGGUUUUACGUCACAGAAUAAGAGCCAAAGUCCUGAGGUGAUGACAAGCCCUUCAGGAUCUGUCCUCCUGUGCCCUCUGGAGUGACCCCGUCCUCUUCCUCCUCUUUCUGUUCUUUCUCCUCUUCCUCCUAGUCCUAGAUAUUUUUUGCAGUGCAGUGCAGAUUGAGCCCAAGCUCUUCACACUGAGCUACACCCCUAGACUUUUUUUUUUUUGAGACAGAAUCUCACUAAGAUGCCCAGAUUGUGCUUUAACUUUUAAUUCUCCUGCCUCAGCCUCCCAGCAUGCCAGGCUUACAGACGUGAACCACGCUUGGCUGUAGCCCUGGAUUUUAAGGCUGCGGAGACCAGCUGUACCCCUGGCCCAGGGCCUUUGAGCUGCUCUACGCCCCACACCCGUGGUUCAUUUUCAUUUCUGCCAAGUGUUCAUUCAAAUGUCACCCUUUCCAGGGAGCCUCCUUCGGCGUUCCUCAUGUGUUCUGUCUCAUUUUCCUGGCCUAGUGGUUUCCUUACUGUGUCACCUCUUACUUAUAUUGUGUAUGCCAGUUUCCUCAUAAACUCUACAUCUUUGAAGGCA